CUCAUAUUUCCUUCUAUGAAGGAAAGAUGACGGGAAAUGAAGCGAUCAACUCGAAUAGGCAAGUUGUCGUGUUUAAAAAGUCCAUGUUUUAUAUUUUUGAACUCUGCUUCAACAGUGGCUGAGCUUGCUGUGAGGCUGGUGCUUUUGAAGAGGGGGACCAUAACUCCUGUCCAAAGUGUCUCUUAGGUAUUUUUUACACCUCUCUGAUUCCAGAGGGACUCCAGAACUGUCAUCUCCCUCUGCUUCGCUGAGAGCCACAACAGUGAUGGC
Long non-coding RNA from Cyprinodon tularosa, 270 nucleotides. RefSeq lists it as uncharacterized. NCBI's taxonomy places the organism in Eukaryota, Metazoa, Chordata, Actinopteri, Cyprinodontiformes, Cyprinodontidae. The record is from RefSeq and is a predicted model, not a curated record. The transcript has 3 exons.